RNAcentral lists this ribosomal RNA (235 nucleotides) under uncultured bacterium. RNAcentral's name for it is "partial 16S ribosomal RNA". It matches the Rfam family "Bacterial small subunit ribosomal RNA", at positions 118 to 351 of the family's 1533-position model. The record is from RNAcentral.
UGAGGAACAUGACUUUCGGCGGGGGAUAGCCGGCCCAACGGCCGGGUAAUACCGCGUACGACCUUUUGGGGACAUCCCUGAUUGGUGAAAGCAGCAAUGCGCCGAAAGAGUGCCUCGCGGCCUAUCAGCUAGUUGGUGAGGUAAUGGCUCACCAAGGCGACGACGGGUAGCCGGCCUGAGAGGGUGACCGGCCACACUGGGACUGAGACACGGCCCAGACUCCUACGGGAGGCAG